GCCACAAACCUAGCCCAACAGAUUCUUAUGUUAUAGAUUAAACUAAAAAACCUAAAUAAACCAUUCUAAUGUUUUAGUAAAGGAGAUUGAAAAUAUUAUUGGAGCUAUAUAAACAGUACCGCAAGGGAACAGUGAAAUAAUAAAUUAAAAUUCAAGCAACAAAAAGUAAAGACCACCCCUUGUACCUUUCGCAUCAUGGUUUAACUAGUCUAAUCAAGCAAAACGUAUUUUAGUUUGACACCCCGAAACUAAGUGAGCUACUUCAAGGCAGCUAAAAGAGCAAACCCGUCUCUGUAGCAAAAGAGUGGGACGACCAUCAAGUAGCGGUGAUAGACCUAACGAACUUAGUGAUAGCUGGUUACUCAAGAAACGGAUUUUAGUCCAACCUGAACUUUAGCCCUUAAUAGUAUACUAAAACAACCAUGUUAUUUCAGCGUAAUUCAAAUAAGGUACAGCCUAUUUGAAACAGGAUACAACCUAGACCAACGGAUAAGAUUAGCCUAAUGAACAAUCAAGUUGGCCUAAGAGCAGCCACCUUUCAAAUUGCGUCAAAGCUUAGUUGUUCUAACGCCUAAUUACCAAACUUUUAUCUUAAUCCCCCAUCAGUACUGAGUAGCUCUAUAAUAUUAUAGAAACUUUUAUGUUAAAACUAGUAACAAGAAGAAGACCCUUCUCUUAAAUGUUAGUGUAAAUCAGAAAGGACAUACCACUGAUACUUAACACCCAUGAACCUAAAGUAGUAACUAACCAAGAAAACCCUACUCUAAUUAACGUUAACCUAACACAAGAGCAUUUUAAGAAAGAUUUAAUAAAUAAGAAGGAACUCGGCAAAUAUUAACCCCGCCUGUUUACCAAAAACAUCGCCUCUUGAAUUUAAUAAGAGGUCCAGCCUGCCCAGUGACUCUGUUCAACGGCCGCGGUAUCCUAACCGUGCGAAGGUAGCGUAAUCACUUGUUCUUUAAAUGAGGACUAGUAUGAAUGGCACCACGAAGGUUAUACUGUCUCCUUUCUUUGAUCAGUGAAAUUAAUCUCCCCGUGAAGAAGCGGGGAUAAACCUAUAAGACGAGAAGACCCUAUGGAGCUUUAAACAACAUAGCAAUUACCUAAACAAAUUUAAACAAACUUAUCAAGUAAUAUGACUAUACGUUUUUGGUUGGGGUGACCAUGGAGUACAACACAACCUCCACGUUGAAAGAACGCUACUCUAAGCCAAGACCCACCUAUCAAAGCAUCAAUAUUUUGACAUUAAUUGACCCAAUACUUUUGAACAACGAACCAAGUUACCCUAGGGAUAACAGCGCAAUCCACUUUAAGAGCCCCUAUCGACAAGUGGGUUUACGACCUCGAUGUUGGAUCAGGGUUUCCAAGUGGUGCAGCCGCUACUA
RNAcentral lists this ribosomal RNA (1385 nucleotides) under Ansonia sp. KUHE 38071. RNAcentral's name for it is "partial 16S ribosomal RNA". It matches the Rfam family "Bacterial large subunit ribosomal RNA", at positions 133 to 2567 of the family's 2925-position model. Lineage: Eukaryota; Metazoa; Chordata; Amphibia; Anura; Bufonidae. The record is from RNAcentral.